UGAGGAAUAUUGGUCAAUGGGCGCAAGCCUGAACCAGCCAUGCCGCGUGCAGGAUGAAGCAUCUAUGGUGUGUAAACUGCUUUUGUACGGGAAGAAACCACCCCUCGUGAGGGGUAUUGACGGUACCGUAAGAAUAAGGAUCGGCUAACUCCGUGCCAGCAGCCGCGGUAAUACGGAGGAUCCAAGCGUUAUCCGGAAUCAUUGGGUUUAAAGGGUCCGUAGGCGGGUCUGUAAGUCAGUGGUGAAAUCUCCCCGCUCAACGGGGAAACUGCCAUUGAUACUGCAGGUAUUGAGUUAUAGGGAAGUAACUAAUAUAUGGAGUGUAGCGGUGAAAUGCAUAGAGAAUGCAUGGAAUACCGAGUGCGAAGGCAGGUUACUACCGAUGGAUUGACGCUGGUGGGCGAAAGCGUGGGUAGAAAA
This 420-nucleotide ribosomal RNA is filed under the name uncultured bacterium. RNAcentral describes it as "bacterial SSU rRNA". It matches the Rfam family "Bacterial small subunit ribosomal RNA", at positions 355 to 772 of the family's 1533-position model. The record is from RNAcentral.